AACGAACGCUGGCGGCAUGCCUAACACAUGCAAGUCGAACGAGACCUUCGGGUCUAGUGGCGCACGGGUGCGUAACGCGUGGGAACCUGCCCUUAGGUUCGGAAUAACUCCCCGAAAGGGGUGCUAAUACCGGAUAAUGUCUUCGGACCAAAGAUUUAUCGCCUUUGGAUGGGCCGGCGUUGGAUUAGCGAGUUGGUAGGGUAAAAGCCUACCAAGGCGACGAUCCAGAGCUGGUCUGAGAGGAUGAUCAGCCAGACUGGGACUGAGACACGGCCCAGACUGCUACGGGAGGCAGCAGUGGGGAAUAUUGGACAGGGGGCGAAAGCCUGAUCCAGCAAGGCCGCGAGAGUGAUGAAGGCCUUAGGGUUGUAAAGCUCUUUUACCCGGGAUGAUAAUGACAGUACCGGGAGAAUAAGCUCCGGCUAACUCCGU
Molecule: ribosomal RNA, 432 nt
Filed under: uncultured bacterium
Lineage: Bacteria
Description: partial 16S ribosomal RNA
Rfam family: Bacterial small subunit ribosomal RNA
Source: RNAcentral